This 245-nucleotide ribosomal RNA is filed under the name uncultured bacterium. RNAcentral's name for it is "partial 16S ribosomal RNA". It matches the Rfam family "Bacterial small subunit ribosomal RNA", at positions 526 to 771 of the family's 1533-position model. The record is from RNAcentral.
CGUAGGUGGCGAGCGUUUGUCCGGAAUUAUUGGGCGUAAAGGGAGCGCAGGCGGGAGGUCAAGUCUAUCUUAAAAGUGCGGGGCUCAACCCCGUGAGGGGAUGGAAACUGGUCUUCUUGAGUGCAGGAGAGGAAAGCGGAAUUCCUAGUGUAGCGGUGAAAUGCGUAGAUAUUAGGAGGAACACCAGUGGCGAAGGCGCUUUCUGGACUGUAACUGACGCUGAGGCUCGAAAGCGUGGGGAGCGA